This 375-nucleotide ribosomal RNA is filed under the name uncultured eukaryote. RNAcentral's name for it is "partial 18S ribosomal RNA". It matches the Rfam family "Eukaryotic small subunit ribosomal RNA", at positions 592 to 976 of the family's 1831-position model. The record is from RNAcentral.
CAAUAGCGUAUAUUUAAGUUGUUGCAGUUAAAAAGCUCGUAGUUGGAUUUCGGUUAAGAGCGACCGGUCCGCCGUUUGGUGUGCACUGGUUGGUUUUAACUUCCUGUAGAGGACGUGCUCUGGGUUUAACGACCUGGACUCGGAGUCUACGUGGUUACUUUGAAAAAAUUAGAGUGUUCAAAGCGGGCUUACGCUUGAAUAUUUCAGCAUGGAAUAACACUAUAGGACUCCUGUCCUAUUUCGUUGGUCUCGGGACGGGAGUAAUGAUUAAGAGGAACAGUUGGGGGCAUUCGUAUUUCAUUGUCAGAGGUGAAAUUCUUGGAUUUAUGAAAGACGAACUGCUGCGAAAGCAUUUGCCAAGGAUGUUUUCAUUAA